AGAAUUUUUCUCAAUGGGGGAAACCCUGAAGGAGCGACGCCGCGUGGAGGAUGAAGGUCUUCGGAUUGUAAACGCCUGUCAUUGGUGAACAAGGUCUACCGGGUAACUACCGGUGGGAGUGAUAGUAGCCGACGAGGAAGAGACGGCUAACACUGUGCCAGCAGCCGCGGUAAUACAGAGGUCUCAAGCGUUGUUCGGAUUCCUUGGGCGUAAAGGGUGCGUAGGCGGCGAGGCAAGUCUGGUGUGAAAUCCCGGGGCUCAACCCCGGAACUGCACUGGAUACUGCUUUGCUAGAGUACUGGAGAGGGAACUGGAAUUUACGGUGUAGCAGUGAAAUGCGUAGAUAUCGUAAGGAAGACCAGCGGCGAAGGCGAGUUCCUGGACAGUUACUGACGCUGAGGCACGAAGGCCAGGGGAGCAAAC
Molecule: ribosomal RNA, 423 nt
Filed under: uncultured bacterium
Lineage: Bacteria
Description: bacterial SSU rRNA
Rfam family: Bacterial small subunit ribosomal RNA
Source: RNAcentral